This 2351-nucleotide unclassified non-coding RNA is filed under the name Hevea brasiliensis (rubber tree). Lineage: Eukaryota; Viridiplantae; Streptophyta; Magnoliopsida; Malpighiales; Euphorbiaceae. The record is from RNAcentral.
GGAGAGAGAGAGAGAGAGCAUGGAAGAGAAGAGAGGUAGCAUUGCCUUCUUCGCAACCUAUAAUCCACCGGUGCCUCUGGACAUAUUCUCAUGUCCUGUUCCACCCACGUCGAAGCAUGAUGAGCUACACAUGACUGAUGGGCUGUCCUACAAUUACAACUGCCGAGUCAUUCCACCACAAGCUCUCAAGACCAUCAUCAAGCGCCCAAAAUUGGCUUCUGAAGCCACAGAAGCUGAUGUUGAUUCUGGUCGCCUCUCAGGCUUGAUUUUUGUUUCCGAACGAGAUAAGAACCUCGAGACGCUUCACAUAGCUCUUCGCUUCACUGACAAAGUUAAAGUCUUCAGUUUCGCCGAUGUCUACGGCACUUUCAGGGAUGCUCGCAUGGAAGACAGUGGUUGCAUUGCCGGUGGUUAUAAGGUUGGUAAGCGAACUAUCGAUCAUUCUCUUGUCUAUGUCACCACCAAGGACCCGGCGAAAGAUCGUCGUCAACCGUGGACUGUCGUUUAUAAAACCAAUCUUAAGACCGGAAAAACUGAAUCCCUCACCCCAUCAGGGGUAAGUGAUUUAAGCCCAUCUGUGUCACCAUCUGGAAGAAAGGUAGCGGUGGCGUCAUUCCAGGGAAAGGGUUGGAAUGGCGAGAUUGAAGAUCUACAGACUGAUAUUUAUAUGAUGAAUGUAGAGAAGCCUCCCUUGGAGCGCAAGAGAGUUAUAAAAAAUGGUGGGUGGCCAACAUGGGGAAGUGACAACGUCAUAUUUUUCCAUCGAAAGGUUGGAGAAUUUUGGGGUGUGUUCCGAGCCGACAUUAGCAGUGGUGAAAUAGUCCGUGUGACCCCGGACGGAAUUGAUGCGAUAACUCCGGCAGCCAUCAACGCCACCAAAGUGGCAGUGGCAACUAUCCGUCAGAAAUCAAGGUUCAGCGAUGUUCGUGUAGAAGCACAGUAUCGGCAUAUUGAGAUUUUUGAUUUAACUGCACCAGAACAAUCCACGAAAAUCACUCAAAUAACCAGACCAAAGGCUGACCAUUUCAACCCCUUUGCCAUAGAUGGUGGGAAGUGCAUAGGUUACCAUCGAUGCAAGAGCGAACUUCUUAAGCAUGCAGAUGAUAUCCGAAGAAAUUUCUACAAGCUCCACUCUCCAUAUCCAGAUAUAGGACUGUUUAGGGUGUCGGGUGUAUUUCCAACAUUUUCCAAGGAUGGCUCCAAGCUUGCAUUCGUUGACAAUGAGUUCAAAGCCGUGUGGGUAGCCGAUAGCCAAGGAUUGCGCAUUGUCUACGAGACGAAAGGCCCAGACAACAUAUUCUCACCAGUUUGGAACCAAGAUCCACAAAAGGAUGUACUGUAUGUAUGCAUGGGACCUUCUUUCAACGCCGGCAAAACAUUGGAAAUCUGCGCCAUCCCCAAUGUGUCUAGUGGUGCACGACAACGUCGAAAGCUCACAAAAGGAUUCAAUAAUGCCUUCCCAUCCACCAGUCCAGACGGGACGAAACUAGUUUUUCGAUCUGCAAGAGAUGGAGGCGAUAAGAAAUACAAGAAUCUAUACAUAAUGGAGGAUGCAGAAGUCGGGGAAUAUGGGAAUGGCAAAGUAACAAGGCUAACAAAUGGGCCUUGGACUGACACACAUUGCCAAUGGUCCCCGACGGGAGAUUGGAUAGUAUUCUCAUCAACUCGCGACAAGCCGAAAGAUGCACCAGAAACUGACAAUGGUCUCGAUCCAGGAUACUUUGCAGUGUUUUUAGUGAAGGCAAACGAUCCAUCAGUUGUGGUAAGAGUGAUAAAAAGUGGAGAUGAUCUUGCAGGGCAUGUGAAUCAUCCAUUCUUUAGUCCUGAUGGAAAAAGCAUUGCUGUGGCUUCAGAUCUUGCUGCAGUUUCCGUUGAUCCAAUUUCUUUACCUCUUUUCUUGCAUUCUGUGAGACCUUAUGGAGAUGUCUUCACUGUUGAUAUUGACCCAGAUGACCUAAAUAAGAACAAAGAUGUGAAGAAGUGCCAUCGCAUCACACAUAGUAGAUAUGAGAAUUCCACUCCUAGUUGGACCAUGUUCUCAACUGAUGAUCCGAAUGCAAAAUGGAACCUGCAAUUACAGGAUCAAUAUACGCCGUCAUGCCCUUAUGUAUAUCCUGAUGGAGGUGAAAGUUGGCACAUGACUGGCCACCUUUGCAUCCCAAGAAGAUGUUGUUGAUUGAUUUUUUGUCCAUGUACAUGGCUUGUUUUCAUGCGGUACGUACGCUAUCGUUUCGUCUUCCAAUAAAUGUAAACCCACGGCUACAAAAUUGUAUACUUCCUGUUUUCAAACUUGGUUUCUUGGUUUUAAAAUGAAGUUGAUGAAUUGCUCUUGGAUGUGUGCAUGCAUUGUG